CCUUAGGCAUUGAUGCUGCAGACAAAAGUCAUCUGCUGUAGAAGCCCGGACGAAAACUUUCUGUUGGAGAAAUCUGGCUGGAGUCUGAUUGCUAGAGAAGUCCGUCUGAAAUUUAUCUGAUGUAGAAGCUUGUCUGAAGACUAUCCGCUAGAGAGGUCCGAUUGCAUGAGGAAUCCGACAGAAGGUUGAUCGAUAGUGAAAUUCGGAAGGCGCUAUAGAAGGUUGACCGAUAGAAGAGUCCGGAAGGCGUUAUGGAAGUUCGUCCGCUGGAGGAGUCUGGUUGGCAUUGCUGAAGUCUGGUUGGCACUGUUGAAGGUUGAUGGCUGGAG
This 329-nucleotide long non-coding RNA is filed under the name Elaeis guineensis (African oil palm). Its description in RNAcentral is "long non-coding RNA (EGUI_LNC018269)". The record is from RNAcentral. Lineage: Eukaryota; Viridiplantae; Streptophyta; Magnoliopsida; Arecales; Arecaceae.